Molecule: long non-coding RNA, 4054 nt
Filed under: Drosophila guanche
Lineage: Eukaryota; Metazoa; Arthropoda; Insecta; Diptera; Drosophilidae
Source: RNAcentral
AUGAUUAAGACAGCUUUUGGGGGACAAUAUAGUCGGUACACUUUGCAUACAUAAAUUUGCAUUAAGUACAUACACACUGCCGGUAGCUAUAUACUCGUAUGUACAUACAUACAUACAUACAUACAUCCAUACAUGUUUGAUGGGCCAGCUCGGAUCUAGUUGGCCGUUUAGAACAUCCGACCCAAAUAAUGCGAAGACCAUAAAUGCAGAAUCAGCAAUCCCGAGCGACCGAAAGUCGUGCCAAAGGCAGAGCUUGUGAGAAAUUUGUUCCAAAGAAUGAAAUCAUUCUCUCACAAAGCUCCGAGCCAUCCAAAACAUGGCUGCUGCAGCUGACCUCAACCGACUCCUGAAGUACAUAUUUAAAGCAAACAUAACCAGAAGUAGCAAAGGAGAACAAUAUUUUAUGGAAAACCAUCUAAGUGAUCAGCAGAGUGCAGUGCGAAUUAACAGCAAUUAAAUUCAGUUCUAUUUGGUGCAGAAAAAAAUAUCACAAAGGAAAAGGAAAAAGACAAAAGUGAAUCAUCCAAAAGUAAAACAAAAGUAUGUUUGCGAUUGACUGUACCGAUCAGUACGAACUAUAUACUCGUAUGUGCAUACAUACAUACAUCCAUACAUGUUUGAUGGACCAGCUCGGAUCUGGUUGGCCAUUCAGAACAUCCGACCCAUUCAUACAACAAGCGCUGGACUUUUCCGACGAGCAGCUGAAGGAAGAAAUGAGAGAAUUUCCGCUAAUGAAUGUACAGUUGCGUGCAAACAGCGGAUCAAGCUAUGAGAAUCUAAGUGAAAAAUGUUGGCAUGUGAGUAUAAAUGUACUUAAAACAGAGAAGAAGUUGAUAAAAAAUAUCAAUAUGUCAAAUUUAAUAUGUUUUAAUAUGUGAGUUUCUAUGUUAUAUAACCAUAAAGCCAAUUAAGAAACAUAUGUAUGUAUUUAGUUCAUGCAAACCAUGGAAUCUAAUACAUUUCAAAAGGAAAAGUGAAAUAUAGUUAAUUUUGAAACAAAACGAGCCUUAGAAAAAUUCACAUGUGAUCAGGCAUACAUUAUGUGCUAGAACGGCAGACCAACCCAACAAGUUCGUCGCGAACGUAGGGCAAGUGGCAAACCAACAGACCGAGCAAGGCUCGAUCGCAUAUGCAUUAGCGUCGAACAUCAUACCGCUCAAUCGAGCCCAAGUUUAAGUAGUCGAAGCAACUACAAUAUGGCUGCGGCUGUCGUUGGUUCGGCUCAUGCGCAACAUGUCUCACACAGUCUCAAAUGCAACCACUCAUUUUAUUGAUCCGAGCAUUAUUUUAAAAAAUUUAACUAAUAUCGAUAUUUCAUUAUACAGGUAAAAUGGCAGCGAAGAACACAACACAACUCCACAAAACAGGAAAAUUAAUCGCAAAUACACAAAAUAAUACACAAACUUAUUAAAAGUAAAUAAGUAACUAUUUUGAAUAUCUUCAGAAACAAAACAAAAAUAUGGCAAAGAAAAAUAUUCUCAGCUACCUACGAAUAUUCCCAAGUUAUUUCUUCACCUUUUAAAUAAUAUUGUAAUAUCGGAAAGGCACGACGUGAUUGUUUUAAAUGGCGAAAAGUCUACCUAAAAUGCAUCCAUGUACAUAAAUUCGAGUUCCGAUUUGCUCCUAGGGCUCAUUGAGAUCAUUUGCAGAAUUCUAAUGGAAAAUUCACAUCUUAUGUUCGCAUCAUGGGGCUUUUCUUUUCUUUCAAACUCUAUCUAGAUGAUCUGUCCUACUCCUAUAUCUUUUUUUUUAUGAAAACAAAAACUGCUGGCUGGUGUAGAAAAGUUAUUAUUGUUAAAAUUGACAGAGAGACAUCCGUUUUUCUCGAGUUGGUUUUAUUGAAUUCUUUCAUGUAUAUUUCUUAAAUGCGGAGCGGCCGCAUUUAUGUGUUUUAUAUAUCGGUUGUAUAUAUGCCCAGCGCUGCAUUCAGACGGAUCAUGUUUGAGUGCCGUCGUGUUUGAGUGAAAGACGCCGACGAUACACUCUUGUCCGUCGCACUUAAGAUAUUUAUGAUUGCAUAAACACUGCAACAAAGGGUUACAGUACUCUUGGUACUCUUGGUACAGUGGGUAUUGCCUAUGUGUGCAUACUACAAUGCACUGGCACGUCUGUGCCGUUUGACUUUGGUUUUUUGAAUGUUUUAUUCAAUUUAUUCCUAUAGCUAAGUGGCAUGGCUGAUCGCCAGAUCUUUUGUCUAGGAUCUUCCCAUUCCAUCACGAGUGGAAACAAGUAUUCGAAUUGUUCUUGUCUUUCUCUUGAAUAAUUUAUUAUCAAAUUAAAGGUAUAUUUAUAUCAAAAUAAAGAGGGCGAGUUGCCCUUUUUAGCGUGGUAAUUUAUUAUAUGUUUUCUUGUAGAAUUAUUACAAUUUUAUUUACGUUGUUGCCUGAGUGCACUACAUUUUAUCAAGCCUGACAUAUAGUACUGGCAGGAACUGUAAUGCACUGACUAUGUUCAGUAUUUAGAGUAAAAUAUUGAUACCUCUUCCCACUCCUUCUUUUCUUUGGUCUCUUUCCGUAUGGGGAAGAUCACUGGCUUUUUGGUAUUUUUUUCCGCUUUGGUCUUAUUGAACGCAGGCCAGCGCAGUGGCUUACCAACGGACCGAGCGAGGUUUGAUGGGAUAGAUUAGCGUCGAACCAGUCGAUCGAGCCCAGGUUGGAGCACAAAGCUAAGCCAAGCGCGUGGGUUAGGUUCGAGCCGAAACAUUUUGGACACAAAUAUUUCCAAUAUAGAAUUCUAUUUGUGAAAUGUCUUUCCUGAUUGCUUUUAGAGCUGUUAAAUUGCCAUGUAAUUUAUGUUUUGUCUAAGUAAAUUAUUGCCAAUUUAGGCAUUGGCAUGAAUGCAGCCUUUAUUGCGUUUAGGUCCUCCGGUUGUUUCUUUAAUUUCUUGGGCAGUUGUGUGCCCGGUACUCAGUUAUUGCCAAGCCUCUAAAGCCUCCUUCAGACUGGGCUUGUCCCUGUAGGGACAGAGUCGUCCUAUGGGCCAAUGGGGCUCAGGCGGUGCCGGUCAUCGCACAGGUCAUCGAAGUACGCUCUGUGUGGCGUUGUCGGUGCCUUUUCAGGUCUUUAUCUUCUUUUUUGUUUUGUUUUUUGAAUGUAACUUUGCACCGCGAGAAAAGAAUCAGCUCUGAAGAAUCCACGUAUACAUUUUGUCGGUGGGUCGUGCUUCUAUUUUUAUUGUUUUUAUAUUAUUUCACUUGAUUUUCACAUUUUCACGGAUCUCGAAAUGUCACGGUCGCCAUGUAAUAACGGAAUAGGUAUUUAAAUUGUACCCCACUGGUACGGAUAAUAUUUUGUACACAAGAAUGAUGAAGAAAUAACAAAGGAAUUUAAUUUUAAUAAGUUAACAAUGUUUACUCUAAGCCCAAUGCAUAGCCCAAUGAGAUGACAAUUAUAAUUAGCUUUUGCCGCUGCUCAGGCACUUAGUAACACAAUUAAGAUGUCAGUUUUGUAAAUUACCAAAUGUCAAUAAGCAGUUUGUUGAUAAUUGUUGUAAAAUUGUGUAAAACAUUCUUACUAAGGCUAGAAACUUAAGCAUUAAUGUUAGCAAAAUGCCAAAAUGACACGGCGAUUGGUAGACAAUUCAACAAAGAAUGCUUCGGAGAGAAGGAAAGCAGCAAAUGAACCACAAAUAAACGCAAUAAAAACACAAUAAAAACACCAAUCUGAAGCUACACCAGACUCCAAAGCCAUAAGUGCAGGCACUUCUCGAUUCCCGACCACUCGCCCGACUAACUUUGAGGAAUAAACAAAUGUAUACACAGAACUGCAACGAAUCCAGUCGAAUCUUUGUUUAAAUGCCCCCACAUAGCUCGUGCUGCUCCUCGCAUUUAAAAGAAAAAGUUAUGAAAUCCAGAACCGAACCAUAACUGUCUUCAAAGCUUUAGCCAAAACUUAGUUCAAAGCGUAGCACAGAAGCGUCUGCUACUCUCUGGAGAUGCAGAGAGCGAAAGCUUGCAGCCCAAAGCUUUCAAUGUCUCGGACAGAGUCUCCACAGUGUAGAGUUGCUAGUGAGGCUGGAGAGCUGUUGGCGCGGGCUCCACUUUUGAAUAUUCUGC